GACUAUGAUUUAAUCUCCAAAGAACCAAAGCCUUUUGUAUUUGAGGGAAAAGUACGUGGUCCUAUUGUUGUUCCUACGGCAGGCGAGGAAACAUCUGGGAAUUCUGGCAAUUUAAGAAAAGUUGUAAUGAAGGAGAACAUAUCUUCUAAAGGAGAUGAAGGUGAAAAGAAGUCUACCUUUAUGGAUCUAGCAAAAGAAGAUAUUAAAGAUAAUGAUAGAACAUUACAACAGCAGCCAGGUGAUCAAAAUAGAACUAUUUCAUCAGUCCAUGGUUUAAACAAUGAUAUUGUAAAGGCCUUGGACCGAAUUACAUUGCAGAAUAUUCCUUCUCAAACAGCCCCAGGUUUUACUGCAGAAAUGAAGAAGGACUGCAGUCUUCCUCUUACUGUCCUUACCUGUGCUAAAGCAUGUCCACACAUGGCUACUUGUGGAAAUGUUCUGUUUGAGGGAAGAACAGUUCAGCUAGGGAAGCUUUGCUGCACUGGAGUUGAAACUGAAGAUGAUGAAGAUACUGAGUCAAAUUCAUCGGUAGAACAAGCAUCGGUUGAAGUACCUGAUGGACCAACACUCCAUGACCCAGACCUCUAUAUUGAGAUUGUGAAAAAUACGAAGUCUGUCCCAGAAUAUUCAGAGGUGGCUUAUCCCGAUUAUUUUGGUCACAUUCCGCCUCCAUUCAAAGAGCCUAUUUUAGAAAGGCCUUAUGGUGUACAAAGGACAAAAAUUGCUCAAGAUAUUGAAAGGCUAAUACAUCAGAGUGAUAUCAUAGAUCGUGUGGUAUAUGACUUGGAUAACCCAAAUUACACCAUUCCAGAAGAGGGAGAUAUUUUGAAAUUUAACUCCAAAUUUGAGUCUGGGAAUCUGCGCAAAGUAAUUCAAAUUAGAAAAAAUGAAUAUGAUCUUAUUCUGAACUCAGACAUAAACAGCAAUCAUUAUCAUCAGUGGUUUUACUUUGAAGUCAGUGGAAUGCGACCAGGUGUUGCUUACAGGUUUAACAUCAUUAACUGUGAAAAGUCCAACAGUCAGUUUAAUUAUG
RNAcentral lists this non-coding RNA (1033 nucleotides) under Homo sapiens (human). Lineage: Eukaryota; Metazoa; Chordata; Mammalia; Primates; Hominidae. The record is from RNAcentral.